This 429-nucleotide ribosomal RNA is filed under the name uncultured bacterium. RNAcentral's name for it is "bacterial SSU rRNA". It matches the Rfam family "Bacterial small subunit ribosomal RNA", at positions 355 to 775 of the family's 1533-position model. The record is from RNAcentral.
UGAGGAAUCUUGCGCAAUGGGGGAAACCCUGACGCAGCAACGCCGCGUGAGUGAGGAAGGCCUUCGGGUCGUAAAGCUCUGUCAGAUGGGAAGAAAUGGGUGGGGGCUAAUAUCGUCCAUCCUUGACGGUACCAUCAGAGGAAGCACCGGCUAACUCCGUGCCAGCAGCCGCGAUAAUACGGGGGGUGCAAGCGUUGUUCGGAAUCAUUGGGCGUAAAGCGCGCGCAGGCGGCUUGGUAAGUCAGGUGUGAAAUCCCUGGGCUUAACCCAGGAGGUGCAUUUGAUACUGCCUCGCUAGAGUACGGGAGAGGAAAGUGGAAUUCCUGGUGUAGAGGUGAAAUUCGUAGAUAUCAGGAGGAACACCGGUGGCGAAGGCGACUUUCUGGCCCGAUACUGACGCUCAGGCGCGAAAGCGUGGGGAGCAAACAG